Long non-coding RNA from Dendronephthya gigantea, 641 nucleotides. RefSeq lists it as uncharacterized. The record is from RefSeq and is a predicted model, not a curated record. The transcript is spliced from 3 exons. NCBI's taxonomy places the organism in Eukaryota, Metazoa, Cnidaria, Anthozoa, Malacalcyonacea, Nephtheidae.
ACAUAUCAAAUAUUGGUUGGAUCUAAUUGUUAUGAAUGAAUAGCUUAGGGCAAUGUCUGUAAUAUGAACUAGGAUAUAAAUGACCAUCUUUUGUGAUUAUUUAAACUAUCAAAACUCAAUCUAAUUCAUUAAAUAUUGGAACAGGAUGAAGACGAUGUCGUAUUUCUUUCAUAGCUGAGAUCUCAGGCAAUAUUUGAAUGCUCUUUAACGAUUAAAAGCUUAAGAAAUUGAAACCAUUCAUUGAAAUAAAUCAAUAUUUGACACGCGAGGAAAAGCGACCGGAAUUGUUAGGCCAGUUGCUGAAUAUACCGCUGGGAAAUCACGAAAAUGCAAAGUGCCUUUUCCAAGAUUCGUAGUUGUAGAAUAUAAAACCCAACUUGAACAUGGAACGAAAUAUUUUGUGAAGGUCGACGCUGGCGUGUGUUACGUACAUCUUUGCAUCCAUCAGGAUUACGAAGUCGGAGGUGGUCGGAUAAAGCUCGAGAAAAUGUUGGUUAAUCUAGACGAGGAUUAUCCCUUAGAGUAUUUUGAAUAAACUAGCAGCUGUUUAUCUAGAGAAUAUAGAAUACCUACUUAUUGUAAAGCAAAUACCUAUUGUGCUGUCAUUUAAAAAAAGAUAUAAGUUCUGUACUUAAUUUGCC